GGCGGCGUGCUUACACAUGCAAGUCGAACGAGAAUUCUUUAAGCUUGCUUAGAGAUAGUAAAGUGGCGCCCGGGUGAGUAACAUGUAGGUAAUCUACCCCUGAAUCUGGAAUAACAUUAUGAAAGUGAUGCUAAUACCGGAUAAAAUCAUAAGAGAUACGUUUUUAAUGAUCAAAGGUAGCCUCUGUAUUAAGCUAUUGUUUGGGGAUGAGCCUGCAUACCAUUAGCUAGUUGGUAUGUUAAAAGCCUACCAAGGCGAUGAUGGUUAGCUGGUCUGAGAGGAUGAUCAGCCACACUGGAACUGACACACGGUCCAGACUCCUACGGGAGGCAGCAGUGAGGAAUUUUGCGCAAUGGGGGAAACCCUGACGCAGCAACGCCGCGUGAGUGAUGAAGGUUUUCGGAUCGUAAAACUCUGUCAAGUGGAAAGAAGUUGUAUAAAUUUAAUAGAUUUAUUCAUUGACGGUACCACUGAAGGAAGCACCGGCUAACUCCGUGCCAGCAGCCGCGGUAAUACGGGGGGUGCAAGCGUUAGUCGGAAUUAUUGGGCGUAAAGGGCGCGUAGGCUGUAAUAUAAGUCAGUUGUGAAAGCCCAUGGCUUAACCAUGGAAGAGCGAUUGAAACUAUAUUACUUGAGUAUGGGAGAGGAAAGUGGAAUUCCUGGUGUAGAGGUGAAAUUCGUAGAUAUCAGGAGGAACAUCAGUGGCGAAGGCGGCUUUCUGGACCAAUACUGACGCUGAGGCGCGAAGGCGUGGGGAGCAAACAGGAUUAGAUACCCUGGUAGUCCACGCAGUAAACGUUGAACACUAGGUGUAGCGGGUAUUGACCCCCUGCUGUGCCGAAGCUAACGCAUUAAGUGUUCCGCCUGGGGAAGUACGAUCGCAAGAUUAAGCUCAAAGGAAUUGACGGGGGCCCGCACAAGCGGUGGAGCAUGUGGUUUAAUCGACGCACGCGAAAAACCUUACCUGGAUUGACAUCCUGGGAA
Molecule: ribosomal RNA, 984 nt
Filed under: uncultured delta proteobacterium
Lineage: Bacteria; Deltaproteobacteria
Description: bacterial SSU rRNA
Rfam family: Bacterial small subunit ribosomal RNA
Source: RNAcentral